RNAcentral lists this ribosomal RNA (772 nucleotides) under Arthrobacter sp. N4_95_2. Its description in RNAcentral is "bacterial SSU rRNA". It matches the Rfam family "Bacterial small subunit ribosomal RNA", at positions 56 to 841 of the family's 1533-position model. Lineage: Bacteria; Bacillati; Actinomycetota; Actinomycetes; Micrococcales; Micrococcaceae. The record is from RNAcentral.
UGCAGUCGACGAUGAUCCCAGCUUGCUGGGGGAUUAGUGGCGAACGGGUGAGUAACACGUGAGUAACCUGCCCUUAACUCUGGGAUAAGCCUGGGAAACUGGGUCUAAUACCGGAUAUGACUCCUCAUCGCAUGGUGGGGGGUGGAAAGCUUUAUUGUGGUUUUGGAUGGACUCGCGGCCUAUCAGCUUGUUGGUGAGGUAAUGGCUCACCAAGGCGACGACGGGUAGCCGGCCUGAGAGGGUGACCGGCCACACUGGGACUGAGACACGGCCCAGACUCCUACGGGAGGCAGCAGUGGGGAAUAUUGCACAAUGGGCGAAAGCCUGAUGCAGCGACGCCGCGUGAGGGAUGACGGCCUUCGGGUUGUAAACCUCUUUCAGUAGGGAAGAAGCGAAAGUGACGGUACCUGCAGAAGAAGCGCCGGCUAACUACGUGCCAGCAGCCGCGGUAAUACGUAGGGCGCAAGCGUUAUCCGGAAUUAUUGGGCGUAAAGAGCUCGUAGGCGGUUUGUCGCGUCUGCCGUGAAAGUCCGGGGCUCAACUCCGGAUCUGCGGUGGGUACGGGCAGACUAGAGUGAUGUAGGGGAGACUGGAAUUCCUGGUGUAGCGGUGAAAUGCGCAGAUAUCAGGAGGAACACCGAUGGCGAAGGCAGGUCUCUGGGCAUUAACUGACGCUGAGGAGCGAAAGCAUGGGGAGCGAACAGGAUUAGAUACCCUGGUAGUCCAUGCCGUAAACGUUGGGCACUAGGUGUGGGGGACAUUCCACGUUUUC